CCUUUUUUGUUUGCUCUUUCCGGCAAUUCCCCAGUGAGGAGGAAGCCCCUGGAGUAAGGUCUUUCUUUACCGUCGGCACUGGAAGGGAAUGGUGCUGGGCACGAAUGCAAAGUGGCUUUUGAUGGCUCCUAAUGGGCAGUUUUGUGCCAAAAGGGUGAAAACGGCUGCCAAGGUCCUAAAGUUCAAGUUUCACAAGCUCCCCAUGGGCAAACAGGCACUAAACAGAGUUAGCUGGAAUUUGAAGAGGUGGACUUGAGUGUUUGAUACCUUUGGAGCGACAAUGUUUUUUGGUUACUGGCCACUAUCCCGGAUGGCUUGCUUGGGUGCUGAUUUUGAAGACCUUUUUAUAUAAAGGUAUGAAGAGUUGGUGAUUCACAAGGCCUGGAAUACGGAGUUUUAAGCCAAGGCAGACUCUCAACCUGAACAUUUAGAGGUCAUCUGUGAGAAUAGCAGUCCAGUUAAGAGAGCAUCUUGCCAGUUGAAAGCACUGAAAUGGAUGCUCAUGGAUGGGAUAGAAGAGCAAGGUUUCAGUAUCAAUAAAGUUUUAUAAACCAUUUGA
Long non-coding RNA from Hyaena hyaena (striped hyena), 559 nucleotides. RefSeq lists it as uncharacterized. The record is from RefSeq and is a predicted model, not a curated record. The transcript has 12 exons. Lineage: Eukaryota; Metazoa; Chordata; Mammalia; Carnivora; Hyaenidae.